This 4217-nucleotide long non-coding RNA is filed under the name Nicotiana benthamiana. RNAcentral describes it as "long non-coding RNA (NBEN_LNC038591)". Lineage: Eukaryota; Viridiplantae; Streptophyta; Magnoliopsida; Solanales; Solanaceae. The record is from RNAcentral.
UAAAGAUCAAGAAUAAAACUUGUCUCAAAUUCACAAUAAAAUCAAUAUAGAUAAUCAAGAAAAGAGCAGUUACAUUUUUCUUUGGUGUGAUUGAAGUUUAUUUCCUUCACGAAAUAAGGACAAUAAAAGCUUAUGCAUCAACUUAUUCGAUACCAUUUCCUAUUGUCUGAAGUAUAAUCAAUCACCCCUUUUGUUGUUGCUAGCAAGACCCAAUAUUCCCAUUAACUUUUGCAUAAAAUGAUAUGUCUCGCACAUGGUGUUAUACUUGUGCAGCUCCCAAGCCAAGACUAUUGCCUUUGCUUCAAUAUUUCAGUUACUUUCCCUGCAUAUUCCGUUCCAAUUUUUUCUGUUUUCACGAUAACAUAUUUAACUUUAGCAGCUUCUUCCACAACAUAGGUUGCUAGACUCUUGCUUUGUUCUUGAACACUUUAUUUUGCAAUUGAAUCUAUCUCCCCAGGGGAAGGAGUUAUUGUUUCACCAAUUGUAGUGAUCUUCUCCUUAAUCUUCCAUGUUCUGGGACAACAAAGAACGAAAGGAGAAAAAAUAAUGCAUACUCUAUCCAGAGAAAAAAAAAUUAUUUGAAGGUUGAACAAAAAUAUACCUAUUAUAUAAAACUGAUUAAAAAUAUUCGUGAAGGAAUAAUGGUAUCAUAUACCGGUAUCAUAAUUGUCCUUGAACACGAGAUACUUGAACCAAUUUUUAUUGCUUGCUUCAGUUUUUUAAUCCACCUCGCACCAAAGCAGCCAAAGACCCAAUUACAAUCUCACACACAUAUUUCGAACCACUUGACUCCCUUAGCAACACAAUGUCGAACAAAAUUGAGCUUCACUUUGGAGUCUAUAAUUAUUUGUAAGCUUUCGCUACGUAUAAAUUUAUUGACUGUAUUUAUCGAGAACACAAGAAAAUGAAUAAAAAAAUCCGAAGUGGCUACUGGCAGUUAGUUUCACAUAAAAAGCCACAAAAAUUCACGUACUUAAAAGUCAAUAUAUUUAUACAUCACAGUUGGUUCGAAUUUUAUUUUCCGUGAAUAGCAACACUUGAAGAAUCAUACAUCAUUUAUUUUGAAUGAAAAAACUGGCAGCAAAAAAAAAACUCCAAAUACUGAUUUUUUUGAGAUAGUAACAACACCUGAAAAAAGCACGCAUCAUUUGUUCAACGGUUUUGCACUUCUUUUUACAAAAAUCAGUCCAAUAUACCUGAUAAAAAAAAUUAAAAAUAUACCCAAAAAAUAAUAUAUAAAUCUGUUAGGAUUUAAACUUUAAAUCAGCCAUUUGUUGAUCAAAUAAAUCAGAUAAAUAACUUUACAUUUGUUGAUCAAAUAAAUAACUUUAUAUUUGUUGAUCAAAUAAAUCAGCCAACUGACUUGAAUUAUCAUUAGUAGAGUUUUCAAGUUCCUCAAUUAUAAGGUUUAAAAUGAAUAAGAACCACUUCUUUCUAUUAGUACAUCCAAUGGAAAGAAGAUGUACCUUCUCGUCAAAAUAGUGAAAUGUAUACCGAAAACACUUUACAUAAGUAAAUUCCAUAUCAAGUCUUAUAUUUCGUAUGAUAUAUAAUUCUAGUAAACAACAUUAGAAGAUGAAUCAAGUUUAUUCUGUUAUGAUAUCGACAUAUGAUGAAAGAAAAAUAUCCAUUUCACAGUUCAUUGUUAAUGGCAUAGAAGGUCUAGUAAUGGUUUAGCUUAAAAAGUAAAUAUUUGUAUGGAGUGACAUCAACUGAUACUUAAGAAAGAAAAUUAUCCAACAAAGAAUGGUAGGAAUAAGUAAUAAACCGCAUUUUACUAUAAGACCCAUUUAAUUGAUUAAGUAAAAUAAAUAAAAUGGUUUAAUAAUUUUUCGCAAAGUACAAUGAUAGAUUUCUCCCUUUGGGGGGGGGGGUGNNNNNNNNNNNNNNNNNNNNNNNNNNNNNNNNNNNNNNNNNNNNNNNNNNNNNNNNNNNNNNNNNNNNNNNNNNNNNNNNNNNNNNNNNNNNNNNNNNNNNNNNNNNNNNNNNNNNNNNNNNNNNGGGGGGGGGGGGGGGGGGGGGGGGGGGUAUUGGGCAAAGAGUGUUCGGGGCCAGAAUAAAAAAUAAUAAAAAGUAACCAAUAAACUUGCUAGAGUUGUAUUUAUAGAAGGUAUUGCUUUCCUCUAGAGAUGCUUUCCUCUAAAGAUAAGUGACUCGCCCAAUUUCCCUAUAAAAUAUUCAAAUUAAUAUGUUUUAUAAUACAAGAAUUUACCACAUGGAGAUUCAAGGUAAAGUUAUUUUUCAUAGGAAGUCAUAAUUUACAGGUUGUGACUAUUUUUCAAAUAAACUUUAGUCAUAUACCAUCAGAAUCCCCAAACAUGGACUACUACAUUCAUAUUUUUCAAUCUCUAGUGAUACCCACCAAGAAACAGAAAUACCUGUUUGCAUGAUUAUCAUGAGCAACAUAGUAGAAGGUGUACUUAGUUUAACACUUGUAGCUUGCAAACGACAAUUGGGAUGUUAUGGUGUUAUGAUAGCAUCCAAUCAAGUUUAUGAAGGCAGAAAUAAUGGACUUGCAUCAAAAUGCAUAAUUGCUUGUGCUUGAAAAUAUGCCAUUGGCCAUAUACAAAACCAAAAUAAUAAAUUGUCGACAUUAAUUCAUUGUAGUACCUAUAUAUCAAGCUUAUUAAGGUACCCUUUUAGCGGGCGCAUUAUCGUGUAACUUUAUUAAAUUAUAUGUUAAUAACUUACUGAAAAUGAUCAGUGCUAAGAAUCUAUGGCUUUCAUUUUCAAUUUAACAUUCCAUCAUGAAUUUAUAAUAAGAAAAAAAUGAUAAAAAGUAAAUAUUACAAUUUUUCUAUACUUUAGCAAAUAAGGUGUCUGAUUACCACUUAGGCACUUGAAAGUUAAAAUUUAAUACCUUCAGAGCUGAUUAAAAGUAUUAUAAUAUUUUUGUGAGAAAAAUUUGAGUUAAACAAAAAUACUGAUAAUUUUGAAUCAGUUGUCCAAAUAAUUUUUAAAUUGCUUUGUAAAAGCUCAAAUCUCUUCAAAGAUUUGGUAGACCAUGAAAUUUAAAUUUAUUUUAAUCAUCAUUGAAUGCUGACUCAAUAAAAAUUUAAAAAGGUGCAACAAAAUUUGGCCAAGAGUAUGAGAAUGACAUUGGUAUUCCCUCCAUUCCAAAGAAGAGGUCGAUUAGCCAAUUUUGAAGUCCAUGAGGUAGUUUACUUCCCAUUGUGAUAGAAAGAAAUUUCUGCAUAAAAAAUAUGUAACUAAAAAAUGUUGUUUAUUCAUUAAACUAUAAAUUACCAAUAUUUCAUUGUCAAAUAUCUCAUAAGCCGAUGAGUACAAAAAAAUCUAAAUAAGAAUCAUGUUACAAAAUUACCAUGGCUCCACUAUAUUCAGUCAUACCUUAUUAGGGAUUCCAGAGUUCAUAGUUUUCGAUUUGGCAUGUGAUGCCAUGCCAGUCAUCAACUAAAUAUUGGGGCUAUUUUAUAGUUCAUUAGAUUAACCAUGCCUACCAUAGAGGAAUGAAAAAAUUAUAUUUCUAAAUACAAUAAGAGCAGAAUUGAAAAAGGAACAAUAAUUGUAAAGGAGUCCAAAUGUGUGUGAAAGCCUUUUACUAUCUCCAUUAUCAGCAGUGGUGGAUCUACCUAUUAAAAAUGGGUGCUCGAGCACCCAUUAACCUCGACGCAGAGUAUGCAUAGUUGUAUAGAAAAUUUGAGAAAACGUAUAAAAAUUUACAAAAGCACCCAUUAAUUUUAUGUACAAAAAAAAUUCAGCACCCACAAACUUGAAUUCUUAGAUCCGCCACUGAUUAUCAGCCUUGAAAAUUAAUUCCAUUUUAUAUGUGCCUAGCUCCAAAUUAGUAGCCUGUUACUUUCUCUACUGAACAAAUUAUUUAAUAAUGAAAGAAAUGAAAAUCAAUGAGUGAAGGAAGAAAGAACCGGAAAAGUUUAUUGCUUUUCUAUAUUCUUAUUAAAUAUCUGUUCAUGAUCUAAAGAAGCAAGGAGUAAAAGGAAGAAAGAAUUAAAAAAUUCGUUGCUCUUUCUAGAAAUUUAAUUAAUGUUUUAGAAUUACAAAUCAUUGAACUUACCUCUUGGAGAAUUGUUAAGUGGUAUGCGAAGAAAUGAGAAAGAAUUGGAGGUUUAUACAUGUGAAAUUGAUCCAAAAAAUUUUGUUACUGGGACUCCGGCGAAGAAGGAUUAAUGGAUUGGAAGUUGAGAUCAUGGGACAACAUGGGUUGUUUGAAGCGCAACUCUUUAGGGUUUAGAAAUUUA